AAGGAGCACCACGAAAGCACUCCAAUUGGUGGGGUGCGAGCCGUGAGGGGUUCUCGCCUGUAGUGGGCGAGGGCCGGGUGCACAACAGCAAAUAAUUGCCAGACACACUAUUGGGCCCUGAGACAACACUCGGCCAGUCCGUGUGGUGUCCCUCCAUCUUGGUGGUGGGGUGUGGUGUUUGAGUAUUGGAUAGUGGUUGCGAGCAUCUA
This 209-nucleotide unclassified non-coding RNA is filed under the name Mycobacterium nebraskense. RNAcentral describes it as "partial 16S-23S ribosomal RNA intergenic spacer". Lineage: Bacteria; Bacillati; Actinomycetota; Actinomycetes; Mycobacteriales; Mycobacteriaceae. The record is from RNAcentral.